This 620-nucleotide long non-coding RNA is filed under the name Brassica napus (rape). RNAcentral's name for it is "long non-coding RNA (BNAP_LNC008180)". Lineage: Eukaryota; Viridiplantae; Streptophyta; Magnoliopsida; Brassicales; Brassicaceae. The record is from RNAcentral.
AAUAAUAAUAAUACAGCCUCGAACCUUUGACACAAAAAGCGGAGAGUUUGAAUGAGUUCAUAAAAAGAAAAAUUCACCACAAGAUAUUAUUAGCUUUGAUGCUGUUGUUCCUUAAAGAGUUUUCCUAAGUGUUUAACUUGUACCAUUCUUGUUUUGUGUUUUCUUUACAGCCUGAAAUGGACACGAGCAGGCGGAGGUUCUUCUUAUGAUGAAUGCUGCUGUCUUCACCCAAGCUUUGUGUUUAUUUUUGUCUGAAGUUUUUACCCCCAAACCAAAUCUGUAGGUUACUUGCAUAGUUGCAUUGUUUGCAGAACUUCACAUUUCUUCUCAAUAUAAGUAUUUCAACAAUAUAGGUCGUGUUUGAUUCGAGUCUAGCAUUUUUAAGUAUGUGACUGCCUAGCCUAAGCCCACUGGACUUAUAAAUUGUCUUCCUGAAGAUUUACUCUUGUCGUCGGCGUCACUGGUGACGACUGUAUCGAGAAAGUAAUGACGUUUUUUUGGCCUACGUCAUCGAAAAGGAUUACUUCGCAAAAAGAUGCUUCAAAUUAAAAAUGAGCACUCAGUAAUUUAACAUCUCUCCACUAACAGCAAAAGAUGUUAUAUUUUGUACAUUUAGGCAA